Molecule: long non-coding RNA, 460 nt
Filed under: Vulpes vulpes (red fox)
Lineage: Eukaryota; Metazoa; Chordata; Mammalia; Carnivora; Canidae
Description: lncRNA (ENSVVUG00000011069.1)
Source: RNAcentral
UUGGCAUUCUAUAUACUCAAUCUGAAACUUUACAACACUUCUUAUAAAUAAGCAUUAUUUUCCUCUUUGAGCCUCAGCUAACUUAAAGGUCCAAAGUAACACAAUCAAGUUAUAAUACUGACAUCUAUCUCCAUGGGAGGUGUUGACAUUUUGCUGAAACCUUCCAAGACGGGAACUCCUGCUGUGGAUAGGAGAUGCCAUUUCAUUGAAAAUGAGAAAUCAGAAGUCAAAUAUACUAAUGCUAGAGGAAAAGGUACCUUUACAACCUGAAAAUCUAUGGAAUCUGGAAAUGAGUUCAAAUAUUUUUUGGACCAGUUUCAAGUUCAAGCUUUUCUGAGUAAAUUGCUCUAUCUGUGAUUAGAGUAUGAUUGAUUCCCAUCUCCUCGCAACUUCUUUUAGUUAUUAAAGCUGAUCCAAAAAGGGAAAGUAGAAGCUGAAGGUAAGAGAGAAUAAAACAAUA